This 890-nucleotide ribosomal RNA is filed under the name Enterobryus halophilus. RNAcentral's name for it is "eukaryotic LSU rRNA". It matches the Rfam family "Eukaryotic large subunit ribosomal RNA", at positions 47 to 667 of the family's 3401-position model. The record is from RNAcentral. Lineage: Eukaryota; Ichthyosporea; Ichthyophonida; Eccrinaceae.
UAAGCGGAGGAAAAGAAACUAACAAGGAUUCCCCUAGUAACGGCGAGUGAAGCGGGAAAAGCUCAAGUUUCAAAGCUCCAUGGGCGACCAUGGCGCAUUGUAGACUAAAGGUGGCGCAUCCAUUUGUAUGGCCCGGGUAUAGAUCCGUUGGAACGCGGUAUCAUAGAGGGUGAGAAUCCCGUCCGUGACUCGGGUGUCCAUGCAUUGUUGUGUUGCGUUAUCGAAGAGUCGGGUUGUUUGGGAAUGCAGCCCAAAAUGGGUGGUAAACUUCAUCUAAGGCUAAAUAUUGGCACGAGACCGAUAGCGAACAAGUACCGUGAGGGAAAGAUGAAAAGCACUUUGAAAAGAGAGUCAAAAAGUACGUGAAACCGUUAAAAGGGAAACGAAUGGGGCUAGCAUUUGUACCUGGUCACAAUCAGCCGGACGCCUGUGUGGACGGGAUGGUGUUGGGAGCGUUCUCUUUACGGAGAUUGCCUCACGCUGUUCGGACUCGCAUGGGUGGGAAAGCCGGUGCACUUGUGAUCGGUAUCAGGCCAACAUCAGUUCGGUGAUUCUUGCCAAACGAAAGAGACAGGAACCUUUGAGGGAAGGUGGCUGUGGCUUGGCCUUGUGUCAUUUCGCAGUGUUAUAGCCCUCUAGGGAAAAUUUCUAUACGUCGCGGCCCGGACUGAGGAAACGCAGCAGCACGCUUUUUUUGCAGASUUCCGCUGGGGCGCAAGGCAGUCGUGACUGAGCCAAAAAGGGUCAGUGCCGGCUACUUUUCUCUCUUGCUUCCUUGUGUUGCAAGUGAGAGAUUGCGUCUCAUCUUACCAGCUACGGGAGUCUACGCAUUAUACGUGCUUGUGAUGUUGGCGAAAUGGCUUCAUCCGACCCGUCUUGAAACACGGACC